Molecule: non-coding RNA, 4692 nt
Organism: Oryctolagus cuniculus (rabbit)
Lineage: Eukaryota; Metazoa; Chordata; Mammalia; Lagomorpha; Leporidae
Source: RefSeq, a predicted model, not a curated record
AUAAUAUUUGCUUCAUAUAUUUGCUAGUCUUGUGUGUUGUAAUUGUUAUAUCUUCUUGUGAAUUGAUGUUUUUAUCACUGAACCAUGUCCUCCUUUACCACUUUUUACAAUAUUUGAUUUAAAGUAUGUUUUUUCCUUCUUGUUUCUACUCAUUUUGGGUUUCCAUUUGCAUGUCUUUUUCCAACUUUCCCUUUCAGUCUAUGUGUAUUUGACCCCUGAAGUCCAUUUCUUAUGGACAGCAUAUGGACAGCAUAUAAUUGAAUUUUGUUUUUUUAAUCCAUUCAGCCAACAUGCAUCUUUUCAUUGGGGCAUUAACCCAGUUACAUUAAUGGUUAAUUGUGAUAGAUUAUUUAUUGUUUAUUUUAUAUGUUUCCUUUUGUCUCUAUCUUUGUGGUCUGGCAAUUCUCUGUCAUUAUACAGUUUCAUCCUCUAUGUCUUUUUCUUUCUUUUUGGUAUCUGUGUUGUGAGUGAAUUUUGUACUGCUGUUGCUUUGUCCUAUCAGGCAUGCCUGAGUGAUGUUAUGGCUUGUGGCACCAAUAGCUUUGGCCCUGGAAUGGUGUGUUGUGGAGGGGAUCUCCCCCAGUUCCUACUGGGUGGCUGUAGAUGAUUCUGGUGCUCAAAGUACCAAAAGCCAAGUCCCAGCCUGGGGGAUGGGAACAGCCUUCGGCUAGGUCCCAUGGGGUGAAAAUACAUUGUGCUGAGGAUUGCACACUGGCAGACACACAUGUGGAGCAAUGGAAUGCACACAGAGUCUUCCUUUGGUUCCACAGUGUGGAUUCAGGUGACUGAGGUAUAUAAUAGUAACACUCAACUCAGAGUUGCAGUACAUGAAGUGUAACUUGCCCAGUUCCCAAGGUAGAUUGUUAGGUUAUUGUGGGGACUGUGCAUUGGCAGCUGUAGGUUUAUAAUGAGGGAGUGGAAAUGGGGCCUCCCUCAGGCCCCACAGGGCAAGUGCAGAUGUCGCUGGGACUUGCAGAGUCAACCAUUUCAGUGCCAGAGCUGCUAGAUACAGUAGAGGUAAAACCAGGUUCCAUGUUUCAUGUCUCACAGGGUGAACUCAGCUGACUCUAGCGGAUACAGUUCAAACAGCCUCAGUCCAUGAGCUGCAGGAAUUGAAGGGGAGCUUACCUACACCCCACAGGGAGACAACCAGUUACAUUUGAGACUGUGCACUAACAGUCACAAGCCUGGAACAGUGGGAUGUAGAAAGGCCUCACUUGGGAACCAAGAUGAACCUGCUGAGAAUUACGGACUAGCAGCCACCAGCCUGAAGGACAGGCAAAUAGGACCACCUAGGUACUAUCUAUAAAUGAGCAUUACUCCAGGGACUGUAGCACCAAUAAGCACAGACCCAGAGCUGUAGUACCCAGAAGGGACUGCUCCCGGUUCUCAUGGGGCAUGCGAGAGCGAUGCUGCAGUUUAUGCCCGAGCUAUCACACUCUGCUAAUACAUGUAGAAGGGGACUUACUCAGGUCUGGUCCUCAGGAUUUGUGUAUGGGCUGCCACUGGCACUGAGCCCCAAGAAACAGAGAGGGACUUCCCUGGACCACACAUAGCAGGCAAUUGUGACUCUGAAGCUUGUGGUCACCAAUCCCAGAGCUGAUGGAAACAGAGGGGUCUGCUUUCUGUCCUGUCCAGCACACUGGCUCAUGGGGCUUCUUGUGUUGAGCAGCCUGCCUGCUGUAACCAAGAUGGAAUAGAGGUCAUCCUGGCUGUGUAGCAGCAGCAGCUCCAGUCUGGGACUUUGGAACAGGCAGAAGCAAUUGAAACUUCUUUAUUUUCAAGAAGGCAAACAUAUCGGUUGUUUUCUCCUGUGGCCAAUGCCUUCAGUGCCAACAGCACAGAGAGGAAGCAUGCAGAGCUGCCGCGGAAACUGAGACGUCUGGGACCCAUGGGGAGACAGAGCUGGGAGAAGCAAGAGCUGGGACGGUCCAUGGAGAGGUGCAGGAAAAACGAUACCUGAUUUGACUGAUUCUCCACGGAGUUGACCAUGAAGCGGAAACAAAAAGUGAAACAUCUGGAAAGCACUUGCAGCCCCCAAACUGAGAAGCCAUCAAGAGGAAUGCUGAAUUUAUAUAUAGAUGUUCUACAGCAUAAACAAAACACACAGACCCCAACUUCAGAUGACAAAGGGGUUGCAUCUUAUUCCUCCUCCCACUGUUUCUCCUGUGUCUCAUCUAAAGGCAAGACUGUUGGUGCAGGAUGGAGAGAUGGCAGAGGGUACAAAAUCAAGCCAGGAUCUAGGAAUCUCAACCUUACAUAAAUGUACUCCAAAAUAUUUAGAGGAGAAGAUCCUGGCCCACGAGGCAAAAGAGACAUCUUCGGAAUCAGAAUAUACCUGCCAGUCCUCUUUGCAGAAGCAUUCUUGUGCUGAAUCCCAGAAGUCUCAAGUGUAUGCUCCUGAGACAAGUAUAGCACGCCCAGCCUGUAGUCAGGCAGCAGGAGAGCGCUCCUCUGUUUCAGAGUAUUUCUCCUGUGUCUCCUCUCCAAACAAGAACCCUGCUGCUGCUGAAGACGGAAUCCAAAAACACCAACAAGAAUAUUGCGUUCAAUCUUCUGAGAUGCCCCUGCAGAUUCUCACCCCAUAUCAGCGUAACUGUUUUCAUUACCAUUUAGCCAAUGAGCCCUGUACACCAGAAAUACAUCGGAGAAAGGAAAGGGACAUGAAAGUUUACUACAUGCGUGUUCAAAGCAAAAAGGAGACGGCUGGCUUACGAAAUGCACAGAAAGGACUGGUGCCUCUCCAAAGAAAGAAAGAAGUACAAGAAAUGACUUUUCCAGGGAAAAUCCCUAUCGUAACUAACCUCCCCACCAUGUCAGCAUGGGAACUCUUAACCGACAGUGAGUGUGGCUGCGAUGUGGAAGAACAAGAGAAGGUGGGGGUGGAGGAGAAGCAGGAGGAGCCUGACAGCCCAGCAGGGCUUCUAGCUCUGCAGAGACGUCCCAGGGCCAGGACGCCCGAGUGGCUGGUGACCCCCGAGAGUGGCUACAAGUGUAUGGGCUGCUGCCGAGUCUUCCCCAGCCGGACCGUCCUGCAGAGGCACGUGCAGCACGGGGUUGAGGAGGGCUUUAGCUGUCGUGCUUUUCAUCUUGCCUUGGCCUGGCUGAAUAGCAAAAGCAACAUGAAAGAGAAGACCAAGAAGAGGGGAAAUAAAAUCAGGAAGAUCACAUAUGGAGGCAAAAUGGGAAGAGGUACCGAUACAAGGUAUCCCUCACGCAAGUAAACAGAUGGCUUGCACACCUAAAAAAGAGACAGCGAAGCAGCCACACUCCACUGAGGCAGUCCCAUCUUCUCUGACGGCCAGAGCACCCACCUUGCUUACACACACCUGACACCUCCAUGACCUACAGGGUCACUGCAAACCCUCGGAUGGGACCCACUGCCCUCACCAGCACGAAGGGGAAGAAGGCAGACGGUCACAAAGGACAACCUAGUGUCCUCACAGUCUAACCAGCAACGCAGGGCAGGGUGUCGUCUCCACCGCCACAGUGGGGAGAGGGAGACUCACUGGAAGUGGAAUUGCUGUGGGUGGAGUGCAGCAGAGAGUCUUGGGCAAAGUGAAUGAAAUUUUUAUGAAGCCAAAUAUAUCAGCCGUUUCCUCGUAUGGAUUGUGCCUUUAAUGUCAAAAGUAAACACAGAGGAGAAACAUGCAGAGCUACCUCGGAAAUUUAGAGACUGCUGGGGCGUGUGGGAAGACAGAUAAGUAAAAGAGAGAGUCCAGGAACAAUGAUGGACACCAGAGACCAGUGUUGGAAUGUCUGGAAGCCCAAGCAGUAUAGUACCCUGGAUCAAUCCAUUCCCACCUAUCUCACUUCUGUUUGUUGUCAAUGCUGUACUGAUUUCUGGCUUUAAGGGUUGUAAUCAUCUUUUGUUCAAGACAUUUCCAUUCACUUUUUAGUUGCUUGUAUUAUAGAGUUAAGUCACUCUUUGAAUAGAUUUUUAUGGCAAACAUUCCCUGAAAAACUUUUCUAACCUUUAUUUUUAUUCAUUUGAACAGAGGGAGAGAGAAAAAAUGGGACAUAUUACACCUCUGGGGCACUCCCUUUACACCCACAACAGGCAGCGCUAGGCCAGCCCAAGAACAAGAGUCAGAAACUCCAGCGUCCCAUGUGGGUGGCAGGGAGCCAAAAAUUUGAGUCAUCAGCUUCUGCCUCCCAGGGUGCACACUAGCAGAAAGUUGGAUAAGUGGAGGUGGGACCUAAACUUAAGUCCUCAAACACUGGGACUUGCAAGCAGCAGCUCAUCCCUCUGAGCCACAGUGCUCCUCUCCCCAUGCUGAAAAAUUCUGGUUGCACAACUGACUAUGUCUGCCGGUUGCCUUUAUACCUGAAGAUCAAAUUGACUGCAAAUAAUAUUCCAGAAACGCCCUUUCUUUCUUUCAACAGCUGUGGACACAAUUCCAUUAGUUUCAAGCAAUGGAUAUUGCUUUAGAGAAGCCAAAGGACAACUUCAUGUUUAGCUUUGUAAAAUCAUUUGCUGCCUCUUCUUGGGUGCCUAAAGAAUUUAUUUUAUUCCCUGAAAUAAAAAUAUCACUGGAGGUUAUGAAUUUCCAUAGGUGUUCCUACCUCAUUUCAUUCCUGCAAACUCAAACUCUAAACUACUUUCAUUUUUGACUUUAAUUUUCCUCUCAUGCUAUGGAAUUAAGGUGCUUCAAAAGUUCAUGGAAAACCAUAUUAGGAUAAAUACAGAUG